This 80-nucleotide ribosomal RNA is filed under the name Pteropus alecto (black flying fox). Lineage: Eukaryota; Metazoa; Chordata; Mammalia; Chiroptera; Pteropodidae. The record is from RNAcentral.
GUCUACGGCCACGCCCCCCUGAACAAGCCUGAUCCCAUCUGGUCCCGGAAGCUAAGCAGGGUCGGGGCCUGCCGUUCACA